RNAcentral lists this small RNA (569 nucleotides) under Pan troglodytes (chimpanzee). RNAcentral's name for it is "retained intron". Lineage: Eukaryota; Metazoa; Chordata; Mammalia; Primates; Hominidae. The record is from RNAcentral.
CAAAAGUGUGAUCGAAGCCUCUGCCAGUCCCUAAAUUGUGAUCCCUGCCCUGGUCUCUUUCAUAGUGAUCUUUUGUUUUCUUACCUUUCUCCAGAAAGCCCUCUAUCUCUGUCUGAUUAAGCAGUCUGAGGCCCCAGAGCAUGUGACAUGAGGCUGAGCGAUGCUCUGUGAGCUGCCCCACUGCAGAGAAGCUCACUCAGGGCUCAGUCCUGCCAGCCCCACACCUCCCCGAGACAGGGCACUGCUGAUGAGGAAUGAGUUCUCUCUUUGCUUCUUUUUCAAGUGACCCUAAAAUAAAACAGCCAAAUGGAAGCAAACACAAGUUGACAAAGGCAGCCUCGCUCCCGGGCAAGAACGGCAACCCCACUUUUGCUGCAGUCACGGCUGGCUACGACAAGAGCCCAGGUGGGAAUGGCUUUGCUAAAGUUUCUUCAAACAAAACAGGUUUCUCCAGCAGCCUUGGCAUUUCACACGCUCCUGUUGACAGCGAUGGCUCAGACAGCUCGGGUUUGUGGAGUCCCGUCAGCAACCCAAGCAGCCCUGACUUCACUCCCCUCAAUUCGUUCUCC